UAGGGAAUCUUCCACAAUGGACGCAAGUCUGAUGGAGCAAGCCGCGUGAGUGAAGAAGGUCUUCGGAUCGUAAAACUCUGUUGUUAGAGAAGAACACGAGUGAGAGUAACUGUUCAUUCGAUGACGGUAUCUAACCAGCAAGUCACGGCUAACUACGUGCCAG
This 163-nucleotide ribosomal RNA is filed under the name uncultured bacterium. RNAcentral's name for it is "partial 16S rRNA". It matches the Rfam family "Bacterial small subunit ribosomal RNA", at positions 355 to 511 of the family's 1533-position model. The record is from RNAcentral.